CUUUGCCCUGGUGGCUACGUGGGGAGACUCCCACCGCCACCCGAGGAAGCUCCCUCACGGAAACAAAAAGCAGCGGCGGGAAUUUGUCAAGUAUCUCUGUGGUGGAAGACAGGACUUCCAGGUCAGUAGUGCUCCUGAGUGCUGCUAUGUGCUUGUAAAAUUCCAUGUCUGAAGAGGCACAGUUUACUCUACCACUCAAGAAGUGACUUUAGCACUAAAGGGAGUUGUGGAAACUUCAGCUGCAGCAGUUCCAUCCUGAGUGGAGCAGCACAGCCAAAUCUGGUGAAGGAGUGUGUUGUCGGGGCCCUUAAUAACCAGAGCAGACAUGGGAAAGAUGGAGGCAGACCCUUCUUGAUGAAAGGACAAGAGGCUGUGGACACAGACUGGAAUACAGGGAACUCCCUUUAAACAAGAAAGCCAGAAUCUCCUUUUGGAUGUCUUUAUUUACUUAUUUCGUGUAUCUGAUGUACUUAAAGGGCUGAUUUCCAUAAUGAAAUAGGUUCAGAGCCUGUAUGCCCUGUACACCAAUAAAAAGAGUUGGUGAAAC
Long non-coding RNA from Melospiza melodia melodia, 547 nucleotides. RefSeq lists it as uncharacterized. The record is from RefSeq and is a predicted model, not a curated record. Lineage: Eukaryota; Metazoa; Chordata; Aves; Passeriformes; Passerellidae. The transcript is spliced from 4 exons.